Molecule: long non-coding RNA, 1521 nt
Filed under: Canis lupus familiaris (dog)
Lineage: Eukaryota; Metazoa; Chordata; Mammalia; Carnivora; Canidae
Description: lncRNA (ENSCAFG00030019853.1)
Source: RNAcentral
GGAGAGUGGGGAAAGGACAUGUGCCGUCUCCAAGGCUGUUGUUAAAAUUAACACAAACCCCCCGAGGCCCGUCGUCACAGGUGGAGGCUCCGUCGCGGGGAGGGGCCGCCGCCCUGACUCGCCCCGCGCCCGGGGCUGCCCUCACCGGGGUCCCGGGAUGGGAGCGAGGUCGGGCUCGGCGUCCGCGGGCUGCGGCUCCGGGGAGCGUCGCCAGACCGCGGAGGACCCCACGAGCCCUGCAAUCCCGAAAGGCGCUCGGAGCCUCCCAAGGAGGGGCACUGCUCACCGCGCCCUCCCCAGGGAGCGCCGCAAGGAGCAAGCGCACGUGCGCCCGGCCCGGCCCGGCCCCGCCGCGAGCCCCCGCCCCCGCCCCCGCCCCCGCCCCGGCCCCGGCCCCGGCCCCGGCGCCCCCCGCAGCCGCGGGAUGGGAGUGUCCUCUCGGCGGGGACGCCGGCCCGCCCACCGCGCCUGCAGCCGCCUCCCUCCGUCCUGACUCUCCGCCCGGCCGCCCCGCCAGGGGCGCGCGGCCGCCGUCCGCCCGCCUGCAAGGUAGGGGCCCCCUGCCCCCUGCCCCCUGCCCCCCUGCCCCCCUGCCCCCCGCCCGCGCCCCCCGCGCCCCGCGCCCCCCGCGCCUCCUCCGUGCGCCCGGCGCCCGCAGCCCAGCGGGAGGAGCCUCCCCGCCGCCCCGGGACCGGCCCCGACCUCCCCCCCGGGUCCGCGAGCAGAGCCGUGCCCCCCCCCCCCCCGCCCGGCCACGUCCCCCGCUGCGGGCUCGGGCCUCCGCGGUCUGGGCGCCUGGGCCGCGGCACCUCCUCCGCCCGCUGCCCGGGGGGGUCCGUGCACCCGGGGCCAGCGCGGGGGCGGGGGCGGGGGGUGGGGGGGGCGCUCCCUCCGGGCGGGCCGGGGCCUGGGCAGGGGCCGCGAGGGGACGGGGCGGGCGCGCGAGUCCCGGGGACCCGCUUGGGGACCCUCCCGGCUCCGAGCUCCGCGGCGCGGGGCUCCCACGUGCGGGGGGCGGGGGCUCGAGGUCUGGACGAUUCCCAGUUUUUUUCUUGGAAAAAUGUCCAGGCAGCCCCCCUUCCGCCCAGAACGGGACCUAACGCCGCAAGCACCGAGGCGGGGGGGGCCCCGCGGGGCGCCCCGAGGCCCUUGCUCCCGCGCCUCCCGGGCCGCCGCCGCCCUGGCCCCGCUGGGCUUCUGGCCCAAAGGAAGCUCCGGGGACGGUUUCUGGAAACUCCAAACAGCCCUGGAGCCUCGUUAGGGGACCUCAGCCGGGUCGAUUGCCCCUUGGCUGCUGUGGAGGCUGUGAUGACCUCCAGGGCCGCGGCCCUCCGGGCGAUGCUUCUCCAGGGGCUGAGGCCAACGCAGAACUCCCGUGGCACCCACUCGGACUCGCGGCGUGUUCACAUGUGGGGUUUUAUUAAAUCCUCCCACCAACCGUGUGAGACAGGAACAGUUAGCCCCGGUGUGUCCGCCAAGAUUGCCCCGCACAAGUGGCUCCGGAUGGAUCACACGAAGUGA